Molecule: ribosomal RNA, 1434 nt
Filed under: uncultured organism
Description: 16S ribosomal RNA
Rfam family: Bacterial small subunit ribosomal RNA
Source: RNAcentral
CAGGCUUAACACAUGCAAGUCGAGGGGCAGCAUGGUCUUAGCUUGCUAAGGCCGAUGGCGACCGGCGCACGGGUGAGUAACACGUAUCCAACCUGCCGUCUACUCUUGGACAGCCUUCUGAAAGGAAGAUUAAUACAAGAUGGCAUCAUGAGUCCGCAUGUUCACAUGAUUAAAGGUAUUCCGGUAGACGAUGGGGAUGCGUUCCAUUAGAUAGUAGGCGGGGUAACGGCCCACCUAGUCUUCGAUGGAUAGGGGUUCUGAGAGGAAGGUCCCCCACAUUGGAACUGAGACACGGUCCAAACUCCUACGGGAGGCAGCAGUGAGGAAUAUUGGUCAAUGGGCGAGAGCCUGAACCAGCCAAGUAGCGUGAAGGAUGACUGCCCUAUGGGUUGUAAACUUCUUUUAUAAAGGAAUAAAGUCGGGUAUGGAUACCCGUUUGCAUGUACUUUAUGAAUAAGGAUCGGCUAACUCCGUGCCAGCAGCCGCGGUAAUACGGAGGAUCCGAGCGUUAUCCGGAUUUAUUGGGUUUAAAGGGAGCGUAGAUGGAUGUUUAAGUCAGUUGUGAAAGUUUGCGGCUCAACCGUAAAAUUGCAGUUGAUACUGGAUAUCUUGAGUGCAGUUGAGGCAGGCGGAAUUCGUGGUGUAGCGGUGAAAUGCUUAGAUAUCACGAAGAACUCCGAUUGCGAAGGCAGCCUGCUAAGCUGCAACUGACAUUGAGGCUCGAAAGUGUGGGUAUCAAACAGGAUUAGAUACCCUGGUAGUCCACACGGUAAACGAUGAAUACUCGCUGUUUGCGAUAUACUGCAAGCGGCCAAGCGAAAGCGUUAAGUAUUCCACCUGGGGAGUACGCCGGCAACGGUGAAACUCAAAGGAAUUGACGGGGGCCCGCACAAGCGGAGGAACAUGUGGUUUAAUUCGAUGAUACGCGAGGAACCUUACCCGGGCUUAAAUUGCAGAUGAAUUACGGUGAAAGCCGUAAGCCGCAAGGCAUCUGUGAAGGUGCUGCAUGGUUGUCGUCAGCUCGUGCCGUGAGGUGUCGGCUUAAGUGCCAUAACGAGCGCAACCCUUGUUGUCAGUUACUAACAGGUUCCGCUGAGGACUCUGACAAGACUGCCAUCGUAAGAUGUGAGGAAGGUGGGGAUGACGUCAAAUCGGCACGGCCCUUACGUCCGGGGCUACACACGUGUUACAAUGGGGGGUACAGAGGGCCGCUACCACGCGAGUGGAUGCCAAUCCCCAAAACCUCUCUCAGUUCGGACUGGAGUCUGCAACCCGACUCCACGAAGCUGGAUUCGCUAGUAAUCGCGCAUCAGCCACGGCGCGGUGAAUACGUUCCCGGGCCUUGUACACACCGCCCGUCAAGCCAUGGGAGCCGGGGGUACCUGAAGUGCGUAACCGCGAGGAGCGCCCUAGGGUAAAACUGGUGACUGGGGC